GCAAUUGAUCCUUCUUCUGAUUUGAGCAACUUGUGGUCUCGGUCUAUUUCAUCUUGGGAAAAGCCAAGUGGUAGCUUAAGUCAGAAGUCAAUGUCAGUUCAAAUGCACCCAUAUUUCAACUCAUCUGCGACCUUGAGUAGUAUUUCUCAGUCAUCAACACAAACUCAUGGUGUUUUUGGAGACCGGUGGAAUUAUAACAGCAGUUCUGCAUCU
RNAcentral lists this unclassified non-coding RNA (213 nucleotides) under Hevea brasiliensis (rubber tree). The record is from RNAcentral. Lineage: Eukaryota; Viridiplantae; Streptophyta; Magnoliopsida; Malpighiales; Euphorbiaceae.